UGGGGAAUAUUGGACAAUGGGGGAAACCCUGAUCCAGCCAUGCCGCGUGUGUGAAGAAGGCCUUUUGGUUGUAAAGCACUUUAAGCAGUGAAGAAGACUCCGUGGUUAAUACCCACGGACGAUGACAUUAGCUGCAGAAUAAGCACCGGCUAACUCUGUGCCAGCAGCCGCGGUAAUACAGAGGGUGCAAGCGUUAAUCGGAAUUACUGGGCGUAAAGGGAGCGUAGGUGGCUCGAUAAGUCAGAUGUGAAAUCCCCGGGCUCAACCUGGGAACUGCAUCUGAUACUGUUGAGCUAGAGUAUGUGAGAGGAAGGUAGAAUUCCAGGUGUAGCGGUGAAAUGCGUAGAGAUCUGGAGGAAUACCGAUGGCGAAGGCAGCCUUCUGGCAUAAUACUGACACUGAGGCUCGAAAGCGUGGGUAGCAAACA
Molecule: ribosomal RNA, 427 nt
Filed under: uncultured bacterium
Lineage: Bacteria
Description: bacterial SSU rRNA
Rfam family: Bacterial small subunit ribosomal RNA
Source: RNAcentral